This 468-nucleotide ribosomal RNA is filed under the name uncultured bacterium. RNAcentral's name for it is "partial 16S ribosomal RNA". It matches the Rfam family "Bacterial small subunit ribosomal RNA", at positions 28 to 507 of the family's 1533-position model. The record is from RNAcentral.
GACGAACGCUGGCGGCGUGCUUAACACAUGCAAGUCGAACGGAAAGGCCCUGCUCUUGUGGGAUGCUCGAGGGGCGAACGGGUGAGUAACACGAGAGAAACCUGCUCUUGAUUUGGGGAUAACUACAGGAAACUGGGGCUAAUACCGGAUAGGCGCUCCCGCUGCAUGGUGGGGGUUGAAGAGUUUCGGCGGUUGGGGAUGGACUCGGGGCAUAUCCGCGUGGUGGUGGGGGAGGGCCUUCCCAAGGCUUGGACGGUGAGCGGGCCUGAGGGGGUGACCGGCCCCAUUGGGCCGGGGUAACGGCCCGACUUCCACCGGGGGGCGGCAUGGGGAAAUAUUGCACAAGGGUCGGAAGCCUAAGGCAGCAACGCCGCUUGCGGGAUGACGGCCUCCGGUUUGUAAACCGCUUCCGCCUGUGCGAAAGUUUGUGUGACGGUAAUGGGUAAAGAAGCACCGGCUAACUACGUG